Molecule: ribosomal RNA, 433 nt
Filed under: uncultured bacterium
Lineage: Bacteria
Description: bacterial SSU rRNA
Rfam family: Bacterial small subunit ribosomal RNA
Source: RNAcentral
UGAGGAAUAUUGGUCAAUGGGCGAGAGCCUGAACCAGCCAAGUCGCGUGAGGGAAGACGGUCCUACGGAUUGUAAACCUCUUUGUCGGGGAGCAAUAAGGCGUACGAGUACGCAGAUGCGAGUACCCGAAGAAAAGACAUCGGCUAACUCCGUGCCAGCAGCCGCGGUAAUACGGAGGAUGCGAGCGUUAUCCGGAUUUAUUGGGUUUAAAGGGUGCGCAGGCGGAAAGUGCAAGUCAGCGGUCAAACGACGGGGCUCAACCCCGUCUCGCCGUUGAAACUGUCUUUCUAGAGUGAGCGAGAAGUAUGCGGAAUGCGUGGUGUAGCGGUGAAAUGCAUAGAUAUCACGCAGAACUCCGAUUGCGAAGGCAGCAUACCGGCGCUCAACUGACGCUCAUGCACGAAAGCGUGGGUAUCGAACAGGAUUAGAUACC